CCCCCUCAAGAUGAGAUUUCCCAACUUCGGUUAUAAGAUCCCUCAAAGAUGAUGAGGUUAAUAGGUUCGAGGUGGAAGCAUAGCGAUAUGUGGAGCUGACGAAUACUAAUCGAUCGAAGACUUAAUCAA
Molecule: ribosomal RNA, 129 nt
Filed under: Staphylococcus sp. S75
Lineage: Bacteria; Bacillati; Bacillota; Bacilli; Caryophanales; Staphylococcaceae
Description: partial 23S ribosomal RNA
Rfam family: Bacterial large subunit ribosomal RNA
Source: RNAcentral